RNAcentral lists this ribosomal RNA (450 nucleotides) under uncultured bacterium. Its description in RNAcentral is "partial 16S ribosomal RNA". It matches the Rfam family "Bacterial small subunit ribosomal RNA", at positions 354 to 796 of the family's 1533-position model. The record is from RNAcentral.
GUGGGGAAUAUUGGACAAUGGGCGCAAGCCUGAUCCAGCCAUACCGCGUGGGUGAAGAAGGCCUUCGGGUUGUAAAGCCCUUUUGUUGGGAAAGAAAUCCUGUCGGUUAAUACCUGGCGGGGAUGACGGUACCCAAAGAAUAAGCACCGGCUAACUUCGUGCCAGCAGCCGCGGUAAUACGAAGGGUGCAAGCGUUACUCGGAAUUACUGGGCGUAAAGCGUGCGUAUGUGGUGGUUUAAGUCCGUUGUGAAAGCCCUGGGCUCAACCUGGGAAUUGCAGUGGAUACUGGAUCACUAGAGUGUGGUAGAGGGAUGCGGAAUUUCUGGUGUAGCAGUGAAAUGCGUAGAGAUCAGAAGGAACAUCCGUGGCGAAGGCGGCAUCCUGGGCCAACACUGACACUGAGGCACGAAAGCGUGGGGAGCAAACAGGAUUAGAUACCCUGGUAGUCC